GAUGAACGCUAGCGACAGGCCUAACACAUGCAAGUCGAGGGGCAGCACAAGGUAGCAAUACUGAGGUGGCGACCGGCGCACGGGUGAGUAACGCGUAUGCAACCUACCUGUAUCAGGGGGAUAGCCUCUUGAAAGGGAGAUUAAUACCGCAUAAUACGAUUUUUGGGCAUCCAAUUAUCGUUAAACAUUUAUGGGAUACAGAUGGGCAUGCGUUUCAUUAGGUAGUUGGUGAGGUAACGGCUCACCAAGCCGACGAUGAAUAGGGGUUCUGAGAGGAAGGCCCCCCACACUGGUACUGAGACACGGACCAGACUCCUACGGGAGGCAGCAGUGAGGAAUAUUGGUCAAUGGACGCAAGUCUGAACCAGCCAAGUCGCGUGAAGGAUGAAGGUAUUAUGUAUUGUAAACUUCUUUUGUCGGGGAAUAAUGAUCGCCACGUGUGGUGAGAGGGAAUGUAUCCGACGAAUAAGCAUCGGCUAACUCCGUGCCAGCAGCCGCCGUAACAC
This 506-nucleotide ribosomal RNA is filed under the name uncultured bacterium. RNAcentral's name for it is "bacterial SSU rRNA". It matches the Rfam family "Bacterial small subunit ribosomal RNA", at positions 28 to 526 of the family's 1533-position model. The record is from RNAcentral.